Molecule: long non-coding RNA, 340 nt
Organism: Hibiscus syriacus
Lineage: Eukaryota; Viridiplantae; Streptophyta; Magnoliopsida; Malvales; Malvaceae
Exons: 3
Source: RefSeq, a predicted model, not a curated record
CUCUCUCCUCUCUAUCUCUCUUGCGCGAACAUCAACCUCCAAAAGCUACAAAAACGCUGGUCGAGAUCUCCAACUCCACUACUCCUCAACCCCCCUAUAGGUGAUAACUUGAACCGGACAAACAUGCAAGGACUCGAACAAUUCACGGCAGUUUUACUUAACUCCGGCGAUGUUGCUUCAAUGGUGGCAUGAUUGGCGACCUCAUUCACAUAGAUGGAAGCAGUAGUGAAGCACACACAUAUUUCUGGUGGCUGACGGGUCGGAUCUUGUAACCGGAUCUAGAUCUGGGUCUUGGGCUUGAACUAACAUCUUGUAAUUGGGUUGAUAUUUGUAACUGGGU